CCUCUUCGAUCUGCUGCGGGCAGAUGAAGUGGAUGUGGGUGUCGAUGCCGCCGGCCGUCAGGAUCUUGCCCUCGCCCGCGAUGACCUCCGUCCCCGGUCCGACGAUGAUGUCCACGCCCGGCUGGACGUCGGGAUUGCCGGCCUUGCCGAUAUGGUGGAUGCGGCCGUCGCGCAGGCCCACGUCGGCCUUGACGAUGCCCCAGUGGUCGAUGAUCAGGGCGUUGGUGAUGACGGUGUCGACCGCACCUUGGGCGCGUGUGGCCUGCGACUGGCCCAUGCCGUCGCGGAUG
Nitrospirillum amazonense is the source of this 290-nucleotide small RNA. It matches the Rfam family "5' ureB small RNA". NCBI's taxonomy places the organism in Bacteria, Pseudomonadati, Pseudomonadota, Alphaproteobacteria, Rhodospirillales, Azospirillaceae. The record is from Rfam.